UUUUUAAAUAACACCAUGGCACAAAUCACUUAAAUGGGAAAAAUUUGUUUCACAAAGAAAUACCCAAUUAUUGUUAUCCAUACAAACAUGAACCUAGACAAAACAGUAUUUAUUCGUAACACGUACAGUGGGUAUCAGAAUUUGAAUAGAGAAGAAGAUUUCAUUGGCAAGAGAGGUUAAAUUACUCAGAGUAUAGAACAUACUACUUUUAGAAGGAAACAUAUGUGGUCCCCUAAUAUUGUAACAGGGCCCAAUGUAAUGGAUCAGAAAUCGUUAAGUUUGGGGUAUUCAUCUCCAUACAUGCAACUUUAAAAAGAACAAAUCAAGUGCUGAGAUGAAGAACAAUCACAUUAAUUGGCUGCCUACUUUCAGCACAAAUUGCCCGAGUAAAAUCGAUGGUGCAUUCUAUACAUGAUACCUUUCUAGUAAGGUCUGAUGCCAAAUCAAUUUGGCUUAAUUAAAUCCACUGUUGAAUGCUUCUAUUUAAUUUUGUACCUUUUUCAAAGCGUUAUUUGUAUGAAAUAUCUUCCCAUCACUCUCAUUCCUACUGGCUGAAUUCUUGCUGCUCCUCCUUUAAACUGAU
Molecule: long non-coding RNA, 583 nt
Filed under: Bos taurus (domestic cattle)
Lineage: Eukaryota; Metazoa; Chordata; Mammalia; Artiodactyla; Bovidae
Description: long non-coding RNA NONBTAT007184
Source: RNAcentral